Molecule: transfer RNA, 73 nt
Filed under: Glycomyces terrestris
Lineage: Bacteria; Bacillati; Actinomycetota; Actinomycetes; Glycomycetales; Glycomycetaceae
Also listed under: 1 other name
Rfam family: tRNA
About the family: Transfer RNA (tRNA) molecules are approximately 80 nucleotides in length. Their secondary structure includes four short double-helical elements and three loops (D, anti-codon, and T loops).
Source: Rfam by way of RNAcentral
GGGUCUAUAGCUCAAUUGGCAGAGCUGCGGACUUUUAAUCCGUAGGUUGUGGGUUCGAGUCCCACUGGACCCA